AGUGACGCACGGCCAAGGCCGGCGGCCGCCCUGCCCCCGCUUCCUUUCACGCUGUCGCUGCCAGUAGGUGGUUGUGGCCACUGUGCCCGGAGGGAGGCGGCGGUGGCCAGUAAUGCCUGGGAAACUCCUCUGGGGGGACAUUAUGGAGCUGGAAGCACCCUUGGAGGAAUCCGAGAGCCAGAAGAAGGAGAGGCAAAAGACCUUAACACGUGAACGGAAAGAAGGAGCCUUCUCCAAUUUUCCUAUUUCUGAAGAGACUAGAAAGCUUCUGAAAGAUUUAGAUGAGCGUCCCCGGCGUUGGCGUUGGCGUCAUCGUCCUGGUCUCCGUCCGCCAGGCGCUCCCGCACCCUUGCUGACCCUGCCGCCCGCAGCCCUGGCGCUCCCUGCGGGCCCUGCCGAGGCUGUGCCAGCGCGCGCCCUGAGAGUCGGUGGGCGCCGACUGCGGCCACCGCUUCUGUUGGGCGUGCGUGGUGUGCUUCUGGGCCGAGGAGGAUGGGCCCUUCACGUGCCCCGAGUGCGCCAACGACUGCUGGCAGCACGCCGUGGAGCCUGGCCGGCUCCCGCGUAGCCGCCGCCUUCUGGCGCUCGAGGCGGUGACCGUGGCGCCGGCGCGCAAUGGCCGGGCCAGCGAGGCCUAGCUGCAGCUGCUGUGCCGCACUGACGCCAGCCCGCUCUGCGCCGCCUGCCGCCUGGCUGCGGGCCUCGAGCCACCCGAGUGGGAGCCGCGCUGGAGGAAGGUGCUGUGCGGCAAGGAGAACAAGGAGUCUGUGGAAAUCAUGAGAAAGAACUUGAAUGACGCCCGGGACCUGCAUGACCAGGCGGAGUCAGCCGCUGCAGUGUGGAAGGGACACGUGAUGGACCAUAGGAAGAAGGACUGACCAACUACAAGAAGCUGCGGGCCUUCUUUGUGGAGGAGGAGGAGCACUUCCUGCAGGAGGCUAAGAAGGAGGAGGGGCUCCUCAGGGAGGGGCUUCUCGCUCAGAUCACUGCUGAGACAAAGCACCGGAACCUGGGCCUCAGCAUGCUGCUGCAGUGAUGGCGCCAACCCGCGGCAGUCCCAGAGCUGGAGGCAGGAGGAUGGAUCCUCAUCUCCCUGGGAAGUGUCAGCGUGUGGCUGUCAGGGAAGUGUGGAAGGCGCCCAGCCUUGGGUCCAUUUAUAUAGUUGUGUGUUUCAACAAUGUCUCUAUCCUUUACUCUGAGGUGUGAGUGUUUUGGGGGCUGCAAACACCUCCUGGUAGAGGCUGGACCUGAGGAUCCUUCUGACCUGUGCCUGACCCUUCCUGAAGUCCUGGCCACAGCCCAUCCUCCAUGAGUCCCGGCAGCUCUGGGCCAUGCCCUUCCUUGGUCACCCAUCUGCCCCUCACCUUGUCAUCCAGGGACCCAGACCCUGCACCUUCCAUGCGGGCCCACAGAUCCUUGGCAGGUACCUGAGGUGCACCGUUGAGUGUCAAAUUUGGGGUUAGCAUCCAGAAAGAAGAACGCACAUGAGGCUCUGUGAAGGCUGGAACUCAGGGCUUCAGGGAAGAGAAAGGAAGACGAUUGCACCUUGAUGCCUCCUGAGGAAGCGGCCCUCCUCUUGAGGUGGGCGUGGGCCCCACCCAGCGUUAUCAGUGUGGCUCUGUCCACGUCCCCCUUCCUGGCCCCCACCCUGCUUCUGUGUCUCCCAGGAGCCCUCCCUGUGCUCCACCUGCCUCUGCAGAAGGAACUCUCUCCGUUUCCCUGGGUGAGGGGACUGGCAGGUGGCAAACCCCAUUUAGCCUCUCCAGGUCCUGCCAUGGUGUCUCAUCUUGCCGUUCUCUCUGGCUCUUUCUCUCUUCCCAUUUCCUUUAGUAGUUGAAUUUUGCAAAGCUCGUAGCAGUAGCUCAGUUGUCUGCAGCAUCCUUGUGUGUAGAUAAAUUAGUGGACAGAAACUCAGCACUGGGGACAAGAUUGCAAAGUCAGGGACAUAGAUGGAGGCAGAUGUUGAGAUUUGGGUACAGCUGGGCUUGUGAGCAGUGCCUGUUUCCAGAUGAAGCCUUUCAGCACUUCCAAGUCCCCAGCCUUUCGUGCGAUGUCUGUGAGUUUGACCUACCCAGUGUGUGGGCUGGAAAUGCUGAAUAAAGUGGGUUUGUGUCAAAAAAAAAAAAAAAAAAAAAAAAAAGAUUUAGAUGGGCCA
Piliocolobus tephrosceles (Ugandan red Colobus) is the source of this 2155-nucleotide RNA transcript. It is a transcript of the gene named E3 ubiquitin-protein ligase RNF187-like, with no coding region annotated. NCBI's taxonomy places the organism in Eukaryota, Metazoa, Chordata, Mammalia, Primates, Cercopithecidae. The transcript is spliced from 3 exons. The record is from RefSeq and is a predicted model, not a curated record.